AUUCGCAGAACCCAAUUGUAUCAUUCUUCUGCCCCGCUCGCGCGCCGCCAUCUUCCCCAAAUGUCCCCGCCGCCGCGCGGUCGACCCCUCUCCCAAAUCUCAUCCAUGCGCGCUCUCCCCAAAUCCCCCAAAGUCCUUCGUGCUCUACCGCCUCGCGUCCUCUGCUCCUCUCCCAAAUCUCAUCCAAAGCCGCGCGCCGCUACCCGCCCAGUGCUCCUCUCCCAAAUCCAUCCCACCUCCUCCGUCCGCCACUCAACAGGAGCCGCCGGCCGCCGCGUCCAGGAGCCGCGCCGCUGCCCGCCCGCUGUUCCUCUUCCAAAUCCACCCUGUGUCGCGCCUGCCUGCCAUUCACCGGAGCGGGAGACCGGGCAGCCCCGUCGGUCGCGGUGUCCGGGAGCCGCCGCAUCGACCCACGGGAGAGCAGGAGGCGCACCACCCACCGCUUGAGCUGCAAGAAACGCUGGACCCGCAGGAGGCUGCGGGUGGCGAGAGCGCGUGAGGGACCUGCGGGAGCUGGGGCGUGCCUUGUGCUCGCAUCCGUGCUUGGGACCUCCCAGGAGGAGCGGAUGCUGCACAGUAUGGAACACAUCCAUUCGUGCGGGCGCAGAGCGCAUCGAUGGCGGCGGCCGCGAAGCCGCUUGGGGCCGCAUCGAUCCCCUUGCCUGCCUGACUGCCCGAGCCCUCAUCACGCUCCAUCUUUCAAUCUCCAUCAAGAUACUUACUGACAAGGAAUAAGGAGAACAAGGAAAAACGAUCUUGGUCAUGCACCUCUGGAAGAAAUGGCCAGUGUUCGAUCAUAUUUAGCUUGCUGAAGGACCAGCUGCAGUUGGCAAACAAUAUCUGUUCAAACUUGAUUAUACUGUAAACAAACUAGGUAUGGUUUUUGCAAUUUGUCAUAGUUCUCAGCGUACCUACAUGCUUAUGUUCGUGUGUGUGUACUCAUAGCUUGUGUUGGUGUGUGUGUAACUGUGUAUUUUGGGAGAGGGGAUAAAGCCUAUAAAUUUUACACUUGAUCAUUAUUCUCAGUUUGUUUGCAUGCCUUUUUCUUGGUUGAUUUUCCCCAAUUUCAACCAUGCCGCAAAGGCAUAACAGAUGUUAUAAGAGAUGAGAAUAAUUUAAAGGGACACAUUGUUAUGGUUACACUGGUUAUUCUUGUAACAAAAAAGACCCUCAAUACUGAUUUUGUAUGUUUCUAAUUAUUUUUCCCCUUCAAGGUGCGAGCACAAAUGCCUGAUCGCAGAGGGAGGGCAUGCUUCUUUUGUCUACCAGUUCCAGCUCAUUGAAAUUGUGUUUCUUCUGAACUUCCUCGAGUUAAAACUAGGAUCUCCAAGAGGAUGCUUUAUAAGGAGUCUCCAAGAGGAUGCUUUAUAAGGAGUCAAGUGCUUAGCUGUGUUCUUGGUAUAUAUGUAGCUUUUUAGGUUGUGUUUAUAGGCUAGGUCUUCUCUGCAGUUAAGUCUUUUGGCGUUCCUGAGCGCCUUUUGGUGUUUACUGUGAUGGAAAAUUUGGCUGUAUAUGCUUCUUGUAAUUUCUGGCUUAUAUGGAAUCCUUUGUCUGCAGUUCUGGGAAAACAUUGGACAACUAAUAUUUGUAUGGGGGAUCAAUGUCAAUGUUUGUAUGCUCAUAUUGAAUCUGUUGGCUUCAAAUGAAAACCAUCGGUCAAGUGUGUUUGUUUUGUAUUGUUUCAAAAAAUUGUUGUAUGAUCAAUGAGAGAUUAAUUAUAUUAUUUUCUAUGGAUUC
Molecule: long non-coding RNA, 1737 nt
Organism: Panicum virgatum (switchgrass)
Lineage: Eukaryota; Viridiplantae; Streptophyta; Magnoliopsida; Poales; Poaceae
Exons: 3
Source: RefSeq, a predicted model, not a curated record